GAACAAGGAAAAGUCUGGCCGGAAGCCAGUGGUCCCGGAUGUCGCAAAAGGGAGGUACCGGAAGUAUUUCACUAGCAAAGCUCUCAUAUGAAAUUUAUAAAGUCUAUCAUUAAAAAAAGGCCAGUGAUAAGACAUCGUAAUUUUGAUAAUUGCAAUAUAAAAAUUAUACUUUUUUAUUGGAAAAAGUUUAAUACAAUAACAAGGAUGGGAACAAAUGAAGAUUUGUAUGAUCUACUUUACAAUAAUACGCUUUUCUUGUUCUAAUAACAAGAUAGCAAACAAUGCAAAAUAUCAUUAAAAAUGUAUUUUAUUAUAAAUAUUAUAUAUCCCUUUUUUUUGUUGGUCGUAUACUUCUAUCGAUAAAGUACUCAAAUGAAUGUUUACAAUGUGACAGGUAUCUAUACAUUUAACCUAGUCACGAUGUAUACGAUUUAAGCUGACACGCGCACAUGCGAGUAAGCAAAAAGUUACGCUCGCCUACGCUCGAGGCGCCUGCUGUUCCAAGUAUAAGCGUGGCAAGGUAGAGCAAAUGAAGAGACGGGAAGAGACGGGAAGAGAAGAGAAGACGUAAAACGCACGGUCAACGGCCUGUUCUUUGCGGGAAUUCUAAAUACAUUUAACGUACAAGCCAAUGCGUUACCGUUACGGUUGCACUGUUACUAGAAAAGUUCACUGGUCCUUUUCUCUGGUUAUCUUUGAUAAAGUUAAAUGUGCUCGACCGAAUUUAUCUUCUCAAUUUUCGUAUGUAUAAUACAUGUGUAAGUUUGUUUUAAACUGUGAAAUUUCGAUUUUCUUCAUAAUCAAAUACGUUAAUUGAACGUUACAAUAUAUACCUUAUAACAUUUGAAUGAUUAUUCAAAUGUUUUCAUAACGUCACGUGUUAAUUAAACUUUUGACGCUUUUAUUUUGUAGAGAGUUUGUUAAAAUAGUUUUUAUACAUUUUAUUUUAGAGAAAUCUAUUAUACAUAUUAUAUCUUAUCUAUUAUAUAUAUAUUAUAGAUACGUUAAAAAACUGACAGCAAGGUAGUCACUAUAUAUCUUAAAGAAAAAUCCUUCAUGAUUGUUAUAAUGGUUAAUGAAUAACUCUUUUCAUGGUAAUUUAUCAAACACAACACGCGUUUAAAAACUUCAAACUCUUUGCAAACGUGAACUUCAGGAGAAGGGAGUUAAAAAUAAAAUUAGAAGCAUUAUAGCUUUGCCGUGUGCUGGUGUUGGCGGAAGAAUAUCCCUUGUAUUUAUGGACGUUUUAUAUUUUUAUAAAUGAACUGCUAAACAGCUUUGAUGAGACUGACUGUCAAGCAGAUUAUCUUCGCCAUCUUUUUCUAAUAGAUUUCUAAUUCAUCAAACUCAUCGUCAAAAUAAAGAAUAUAAAAUAGAAAAAUGCAAACGGAAAAAGUAUGACAUAACUAUUAAAUCAAUAAUACAAUUUAACUAAUAUUUGAUACUUAAAAUAACAAUUAUUGUAUUUGAAAAUAAUAGAAAUGUUUAAUUUCAUAUUCUCUUUCUUAAAAAUAUGUAGAAGCUUCUUGUCAGUGUUGAUGGACAUAUGACAUCAAUGGUGUCACGAGUGUGGUUCGACCCAGCCAACCCUCGAACUCACCACAGUCGAGAACAUAAAAUCGGCUGUGGAAAAUCGUUCGGAUAGAUAUAUAUUUUCUCCGUAUAUUGCACAUAUUUUUAGAUAAGCAGCGAAAUAAUACGAAAUUAGAACGCUCGCGGCCUUUGUACGAGCCGACGUCGUCAUUAGUCGUUUGAAGGCUCACGAUGUACGUUACGUUACGUAUGUUCCAAUCUACCAUCGUUCUAUCCCUGGGAGGCAUUAUAAUCGCCAGUAUCCAGAAUAGUAAUUUAAGCGUGUGUGGCCUCUCCGACUAAUCUCAGCUCGCUUUCAUCGGUUAUUAAAAUUCGUAUAUCUAAUGGUAACCAAAUGUAUUUACUAAUUAAUCUAACCGAUAUUCGUAACGCAAUUUACUUUACCUCUUAUUCUUAUUUCAUGCUUAAUAUAAAUAUAUAUGUAUACGCGUAAGUAAAUGCGUACAAAGGAUGUUUGAAAAUUGUGACAAAUAAAUUAGUUUUAAGACAUGUACUAUUCGUAAAAGCAAAUAGAAAAUAUUACGAAUCUAA
RNAcentral lists this long non-coding RNA (2124 nucleotides) under Polistes fuscatus (common paper wasp). Its description in RNAcentral is "uncharacterized LOC122517083, transcript variant X2". Lineage: Eukaryota; Metazoa; Arthropoda; Insecta; Hymenoptera; Vespidae. The record is from RNAcentral.